UGCAAGUCGAGCGGUAGAGAGGAGCUUGCUUCUCUUGAGAGCGGCGGACGGGUGAGUAAUGCCUAGGAAUCUGCCUAGUGGUGGGGGAUAACGUUCGGAAACGGACGCUAAUACCGCAUACGUCCUACGGGAGAAAGCGGGGGACCUUCGGGCCUCGCGCCAUUAGAUGAGCCUAGGUCGGAUUAGCUAGUUGGUGAGGUAAUGGCUCACCAAGGCGACGAUCCGUAACUGGUCUGAGAGGAUGAUCAGUCACACUGGAACUGAGACACGGUCCAGACUCCUACGGGAGGCAGCAGUGGGGAAUAUUGGACAAUGGGCGAAAGCCUGAUCCAGCCAUGCCGCGUGUGUGAAGAAGGUCUUCGGAUUGUAAAGCACUUUAAGUUGGGAGGAAGGGUAGUAACUUAAUACGUUGCUACUUUGACGUUACCGACAGAAUAAGCACCGGCUAACUUCGUGCCAGCAGCCGCGGUAAUACGAAGGGUGCAAGCGUUAAUCGGAAUUACUGGGCGUAAAGCGCGCGUAGGUGGUUCAGUAAGUUGGAAGUGAAAUCCCCGGGCUCAACCUGGGAACUGCUUUCAAAACUGCUGAGCUAGAGUACGGUAGAGGGUGGUGGAAUUUCCUGUGUAGCGGUGAAAUGCGUAGAUAUAGGAAAGGAACACCAGUGGCGAAGGCGACCACCUGGACUGAUACUUGACACUGAGGUGCGAAAGCGUGGGGGAGCAAACAGGAUUAGAUACCCUGGUAGUCCACGCCGUAUAACGAUGUCAACUAGCCGUUGGGAGU
Molecule: ribosomal RNA, 783 nt
Filed under: Pseudomonas sp. 9AA
Lineage: Bacteria; Pseudomonadati; Pseudomonadota; Gammaproteobacteria; Pseudomonadales; Pseudomonadaceae
Description: bacterial SSU rRNA
Rfam family: Bacterial small subunit ribosomal RNA
Source: RNAcentral